CACCUGACUUCAUUUUAUAAACGGGAAGUCAUGACACUUGAAAAAAUGGAGGAACAUAAAGCUUCAGAAUCUUGUGAGGUCUCGCUCUUUCCUUUGUCACUCAAGUGUACGGCAUCUGCCGUUCUUAGGCAAGAGUCCACCGCCUGCCGUCAGGCCUGUCCCUUGAGUAGGUGAUUCCGAGGCUGGAUCAAAGGGGGUACUACGAGCUCUUUUCCCCACGCAUCUAACCAGCUCGCAUGGUUCACCGGUUCCACCGACUAGAACAUAUUCUCAGUCGAUACAGAGCCAAGCCACAUACUAGCGGCAGAGUUUGGAGGAGCUUUUGCAGUGUGAGCGUUCACAGGUAUCUUCAGUACACAAGACCUGGAUUAGGCAUGCAAAGGAAGUGCAGUUGUUCUUCCAAAACUUUGUUGGAGGCUUCGUACUCUUCAAUGCGAAUGCUUAUAGUUUUGAUACUUGCUGAUUUAUUGAUAUGUCCUUGAUAUCAACUCUUGCUAAAUGUAAAAUAUUAUCAAAUUCUAUGCAAUUUUAAGAAUUUUAAUUUAAAGAUUAUUUCAGUGGUCUGCCA
Molecule: long non-coding RNA, 568 nt
Organism: Papaver somniferum (opium poppy)
Lineage: Eukaryota; Viridiplantae; Streptophyta; Magnoliopsida; Ranunculales; Papaveraceae
Exons: 2
Source: RefSeq, a predicted model, not a curated record